UACGUAGGUGACCAGCGUUGUCCGGAUUUACUGGGCGUAAAGAGCGCGCAGGCGGUCGUUCAAGUCGAGUGUGAAAGCCCCCGGCUCAACUGGGGAGGGUCACUCGAUACUGAUCGACUUGAAGGCAGGAGAGGGAAGCGGAAUUCCCGGUGUAGUGGUGAAAUGCGUAGAUAUGCGGAGGAACACCGAUGGCGAAGGCAAUCCCCUGGGCCUGCACUGACGCUCAUGCACGAAAGCGUGGGGAGCAAACAGG
Molecule: ribosomal RNA, 253 nt
Filed under: uncultured bacterium
Lineage: Bacteria
Description: partial 16S ribosomal RNA
Rfam family: Bacterial small subunit ribosomal RNA
Source: RNAcentral